RNAcentral lists this unclassified non-coding RNA (248 nucleotides) under Hevea brasiliensis (rubber tree). The record is from RNAcentral. Lineage: Eukaryota; Viridiplantae; Streptophyta; Magnoliopsida; Malpighiales; Euphorbiaceae.
AGGGGGGAAAGUGGUAGAGAAAGGAAAUUCCAGUGAAAAGAAGGAGGAAGAUGAAUUGUUGUUAUAAAUCAUGAAGCAGAGUAGUAUGAUGCAAUCGAACAGUUGAAAAAGAUGCCUACUCGAAUCUCCUUGCUCUCAUUAAUAUUGAGCUCAGAAGUGCAUCGUCAUGCCUUAUAAAGGGUUCUAGAUCAGGCAUUUGUAACCUCCCGACAUCACACCGGGGCAAUUUCAGAAGAUAGUUAGACAAA